AUUUAAAUAGUUUAGUUAAAAAUUUUGAUUUGUGGAGUCAAAGAUGUAUUUGUUACUUUAAAUA
RNAcentral lists this transfer RNA (64 nucleotides) under Andrena bicolor. RNAcentral describes it as "tRNA-His". The record is from RNAcentral. Lineage: Eukaryota; Metazoa; Arthropoda; Insecta; Hymenoptera; Andrenidae.